GGCUGCAUCCAUGAUGAGAAUCUCCUGUUCCACCACAUUCUAAAGCUGCUGUUCUGGACUGAGAUCUGGUGACUGUGGAGGCCGUUGGAGUCCAGUGAAC
Melanotaenia boesemani (Boeseman's rainbowfish) is the source of this 100-nucleotide long non-coding RNA. RefSeq lists it as uncharacterized. The transcript has 3 exons. NCBI's taxonomy places the organism in Eukaryota, Metazoa, Chordata, Actinopteri, Atheriniformes, Melanotaeniidae. The record is from RefSeq and is a predicted model, not a curated record.